Molecule: long non-coding RNA, 2553 nt
Organism: Triticum dicoccoides
Lineage: Eukaryota; Viridiplantae; Streptophyta; Magnoliopsida; Poales; Poaceae
Exons: 6
Source: RefSeq, a predicted model, not a curated record
GUUCCCGUUCUUGUCUCCGUUUCUCAAGUUUUAUUUAUUGCUCUCUUGUUUUCUUACCGAGGAUUAUUGGUCACUUUUGUCGACGCAGCCAUGCGUUGCUAUGAUCCGCCCUUCUUUGCGUGACUUACCGACUUUGAGUAUCCAUCCAUGAAUCAAAUCAAACAACUAGACUGUUAGAUCCAAUCAGAAUAGUCAUUAUUUUAUUUAUACCGUGGCGUCAAUUUAUUUUAUCUGUUUGUAGUAAGGAUUACCCAAAGCAACCUCCUGAAUCCCUUUUUUCAAGUUUUUUCUUCGUAACAAAAGGAUUGGAUCUUUAGGUUCUCUUGUUCAUAGGGUUGUAAUAACACUGGAAGAGGGUGUCCUGGAUGGGUUAGGAAACCACAUGAAUUGAUGUGAACAAAAAGGAGACCACAUGAACUAAUGCGGAAAAAAAAAGGAAACCACGUGAGUUUUUGUUAACGAGCAGACAAUUUGUGCCAAGAGGUUUGACGUAAGUGUUGUUCAAAACAGUGCGAACCAAUCCUUGGUGUUUGUUUGGGUAAACGGAAUUAACGCCUAGGUUUACCAAAAACAUGUUUUAGUAGGAUUUUAAAAAGGAACUAGUUUUACUAAUAGUUUUGGUUAGGAACAAGUAUGCACAAAAACCUUGUGUUGAUGAUUAAACAUGUUUGAGCACGACAGACAGGACCGCGUAAGAGAUGAUCCCGUCGUACUCCCUAGGUGCGCUCCAUCAUUUGGUCGCACACGAGAUAGACAAACGAUGAAGAUUGGACAAGUUUUCACCCAAUCCUGACGGGGUUGGGCACAACCGAACGAGGCAUAUGGAAUUUUUUCCUAAAGGAAUAACUUCCAUUUGUACUACAUUACAUAGGGAAUCUAGCACACACUGCAACCUCUUAAAAAAACCUUUAUUCUUCAUAUGACUCAAAUCCUACAUGACAUUUUACAGUUUUGCUAAAGCACAUCUAGAUGUGCUCUAAGUAUUGAAGUCCUAUGUCAUUGAUUUUACGCUAAGAUUCAUGCAAGCAUUUUUUUUUGUCUUUUUUCUUUUUGUUUCUAGUUUGAUUGAGCCACUUAGAUGUGCAAUAACUAGGCACAUCUAGAUAUGCUCUAAGACUAGCCACAAUGGAGAGUAACAUACACUGGUAACAUAGACAUAUCCCUAGAAUAUGUUACUAUCUUCAUAGUGGGUAGUAACAUAAGUGUGGUAUCAUGGAAAGCUUCAUCUAUUGGGUACUUAUAUUGCAUUGGGACAUGUGAUGUUACAGUAACUAGCUAAGUUACUCAAACUACAUCUCUCCUCAUUAACUCAUUGCCACAUAAGCAAAUUUGCUGAGUUGGACUCGAUAUCAUUGUUGAAGUUACUCCCACUGUGGCUAGUCUAAGUAUUGCACAUCUAAGUCCUAUGUCAUUGAUUUUACGCUAAGAUUCAUGCAAGUAUUUUCUUUUGUCUUUUUUUUUCUUUCUAGUUUGAUUGAGUCACUUAGAUGUGUAAUAACUAGGGCACAGACAAACCUGACAUUUAAUGUGUUUUUUUAGUUCCUACUUUUUUUUACAAUCCUAAUAUGAAUCAACCAAGCACUUAAAAUUUUUCUAAGGAUUUGAAUCCCAACAAUUCCUCCAUAAAUAUUCCAAUGUACCCGAAUCCUUAAAGGUCCUACGCAAAAUAUGCGAAUAAAAAGAAGUCAUGCCCAUGUAUUCAUCUGUGUACUUUCACCUUGGGCAGCCACUGAAACUCCAGCGACACAUACAUUUCGGCCCAUUACAACCCGUUCCAUUAGAUCACACGCCCCCCCUCAAUCGGACGGGCAGGGAUGGCCAGGGAUUAGGUUAAUUCCCGUAUAAAUUGCCCACCCCACAUUAUCCCAUCUUCUCCUCUCCACCCCUCUCCGUCGACAGCCGCCACCGCGCUCCACUUGCGCUGCGUUCUUCUCGCGUGUGAAGUCCAGGACCAGGACAAAGGAAUGGCUUCAAACAACACAAGGGGCAACAGAGAAAGGGCUACGUCCAGGUGUACUGAUGCUGAUCUAUAUGGAGGCGUCAAUGUACUUGCUGGAGACGGUUUUGAGAGCCAGGUUUACUCAAAAGAGAUACACGCUGAUGCUGUAAAGCUCAGUGUAAGAAGGGUCCGAACAAGCUUUGCCCACACAAAGAUGCCAUGUCCAGGGCUGAUGUCAUUAAGAAUGGGAGCUAUGGUGGCAUGAAAAUUGUCCACCCGUCACCAGCUGUCACUGAGGAUGUAGCGCAGAAGUAGAUCAGGAAGACCUCGGGGCCACUAUGCACAAUAUUUUUAUCAGGUGUUGUUUCCAAUGACAUCUGAAGUUAUUUGCUCCGGGGUUUCGUCAUCACGCUUGUUUGCACGGUUCCGAGUACUCCAGUUUUUGUACUGAAUGUAUGGUCUUCUAUGACCUGACUAUCUGAAAGUGAAGUUUUUGUAAUAGUACUAUAAUGAUUCGUAUGGUCAUCUAUGACCUGACUAUUGCUAUAUAUGUGCUAUAUAUAUGACUACUGCUGAAAGCAAUAAUGUCUUUUACCAUGGUGUUGUGCUGUUCA